GUUUGAUCAUGGCUCAGGACGAACGCUGGCGGCGUGCUUAACACAUGCAAGUGGAGCGACGAACCGGGCUUCGGCGCGCAAAGCCGCGAACGGGUGAGUAUCACGUGGGAUAACCUGCCCCGAUGACCGGGACAACCCGAGGAAACUCGGCUAAUACCGGAUGUGCCCCUCACACACCAGUGUGAGGAGGAAAGGAAGCUUCGGCCUCCGCAUCGGGACGGGCCCGCGGCAUUAGCUUGUUGGUGAGGUAAAGGCUCACCAAGGCCACGAUGGGUAGCUGGUCUGAGAGGACGAUCAGCCACACUGGGACUGAGACACGGCCCAGACUCCUACGGGAGGCAGCAGUGGGGAAUCUUGCGCAAUGCGAAUAGCUGACGCAGCAACGCCGCGUGAGGGAAGAAGGCCUUCGGGUUGUAAACCUCUUUCAGGAGGGACGAAGGUUCAGGCGCGAAUAGGUCCUGGACUGACGGUACCUCCAGAAGAAGCCCGGCUAACUACGUGCAGCAGCCGCGGUAAUACGUAGGGGGCUAGCGUUGUCCGGAAUCAUUGGCGUAAGCGCGCGUAGGCGCCCGGUAAGUCCGCUGUAAAGUCAAGGCUCAACCUU
This 604-nucleotide ribosomal RNA is filed under the name uncultured bacterium. RNAcentral's name for it is "bacterial SSU rRNA". It matches the Rfam family "Bacterial small subunit ribosomal RNA", at positions 11 to 616 of the family's 1533-position model. The record is from RNAcentral.